GGGCCUGUAGCUCAGCUGGUAGAGCAGUUGACUCUUAAUCAAUUGGUCGGGGGUUCGACUCCUCCCAGGCCCACCA
This 76-nucleotide transfer RNA is filed under the name Desulfobacteraceae bacterium. RNAcentral's name for it is "tRNA-Lys". It matches the Rfam family "tRNA". From Rfam's summary of the family: Transfer RNA (tRNA) molecules are approximately 80 nucleotides in length. Lineage: Bacteria; Pseudomonadati; Thermodesulfobacteriota; Desulfobacteria; Desulfobacterales; Desulfobacteraceae. The record is from RNAcentral.